This 253-nucleotide ribosomal RNA is filed under the name uncultured bacterium. Its description in RNAcentral is "partial 16S ribosomal RNA". It matches the Rfam family "Bacterial small subunit ribosomal RNA", at positions 524 to 776 of the family's 1533-position model. The record is from RNAcentral.
UACGUAGGGCGCAAGCGUUGUCCGGAAUUAUUGGGCGUAAAGAGCUCGUAGGCGGCUUGUCACGUCGGGUGUGAAAGCCCGGGGCUUAACCCCGGGUCUGCAUUCGAUACGGGCAGACUGGAGUUCGGCAGGGGAGACUGGAAUUCCUGGUGUAGCGGUGAAAUGCGCAGAUAUCAGGAGGAACACCGGUGGCGAAGGCGGGUCUCUGGGCCACUACUGACGCUGAGAAGCGAAAGCAUGGGGAGCGAACAGG